AGAGUUUGAUCCUGGCUCAGAACGAACGCUGGCGGCGCGUCUUAAGCAUGCAAGUCGAGCGGUAAGUCGGGAGCUUGCUCCUGACCUAGAGCGGCGGACUGGUGAGUAACGCGUGGGUGACGUACCUUUGUGACGGGGACAGCUCCUAGAAAUAGGAGAUAAUACCGGAUACGCUGCAUGUUGUCAGAGGACAUGCAGGAAAGGAUCUUUUGAUCCGCACAGAGAGCGGCCCGCGUACUAUUAGCUUGUUGGUGAGGUAACGGCCCACCAAGGCGACGAUAGUUACCCGGCCUAAGAGGGUGAUCGGGCACAUUGGGACUGAGAUACGGCCCAGACUCCUACGGGAGGCAGCAGCUAAGAAUAUUCCGCAAUGGACGAAAGUCUGACGGAGCGACGCCGCGUGGAUGAUGAAGGCCGGAAGGUUGUAAAAUCCUUUUAUGACUGAGGAAUAAGUGAAGUGAGGGAAACGCUUCAUGGUGACUGUAGGUCAUGAAUAAGCAACGGCUAAUUACGUGCCAGCAGCCGCGGUAACACGUAAGUUGCGAGCGUUGUUCGGAAUUAUUGGGCGUAAAGGGUAUGUAGGCAGUUCUGCAAGUCUGGUGUGAAAUGCCGGGGCUCAACCCCGGAACUGCGUUGGAAACUGCAGGACUUGAAUCGCUGAGGGGCAGCCAGAAUUCCAGGUGUA
RNAcentral lists this ribosomal RNA (685 nucleotides) under uncultured bacterium. RNAcentral's name for it is "bacterial SSU rRNA". It matches the Rfam family "Bacterial small subunit ribosomal RNA", at positions 8 to 677 of the family's 1533-position model. The record is from RNAcentral.